CAGUAUCAGCUUACUACAGUCAUUUUAUUCUCUCUAAAUAAUUGAAAGAGUUGUUCUCACUUUGCCUGCUUCUUACAGUUCUGGGGCCGAACUUCUCAAUGUAUGAGUAACUAAUAAUAGCUUAGGUGCUGAAUCUUCUGUUCUGCAAUAUCCACAAUACAAGUAUUAAAGGUGAUUCCCAUUAAAAUCAUUUUUUCCUCUGAGAUUGAUGAGGAUGAUCUCUCCAAACUGAGGGCAAACUUUCAUGGUCAGACUACAAUGGUGUUUUACAUGGAAGACCGUCCAUGAGUUGCAUUUGCGCUUGACAUAUCAGCUACGCAGCCGUCAGCUGUCACCCAAUGUAUGCUAUAUCGGCGUCACAGCACAGCAUGAGAAAUGGCCCCUUUUUCUCAUGAUCACAGGAAUGAAUCUGGUAAGUUUUGACUUUUUAUGUAAUUUUAACAAAAAAAUAUCAAUAUAUUAUGGUAGAAUCAUGAUGGGUAAAAGUUUAUUUUGGUAUUUGUUUCUAUUAGGGGGUUACUUCUUGCUAUAUCUUUGCUGUCUUUUUGCUAUCUCCACAUAUACCGCUUAUUACUUGAUCCUAAAAUAUGUUGUCGUGUGUUGAUUUGAGUGGAGGGAAGUGAGAGAGGCAAAUCAUCAGAGAGUCAGUUACAGUAAUGCUACUAUUUAUUUCAUUUAUCUGGUACAGUCGUAGUAAAAUAGGAAGUGAUGCUGGUUCUUGUCCAAAGGGAU
Long non-coding RNA from Frankliniella occidentalis (western flower thrips), 732 nucleotides. RefSeq lists it as uncharacterized. The record is from RefSeq and is a predicted model, not a curated record. NCBI's taxonomy places the organism in Eukaryota, Metazoa, Arthropoda, Insecta, Thysanoptera, Thripidae. The transcript is spliced from 3 exons.